This is a long non-coding RNA of Musca domestica (house fly), 485 nucleotides long. RefSeq lists it as uncharacterized. NCBI's taxonomy places the organism in Eukaryota, Metazoa, Arthropoda, Insecta, Diptera, Muscidae. The transcript is spliced from 3 exons. The record is from RefSeq and is a predicted model, not a curated record.
AGGUAAUCAAUUCUAAUUUUAAAAAUAAAGCAUUCAGAGAAAAUGCUGAUGGAUAUUUCGAAAUUUUGUUGACAAUAUAUCCUAAAAAGCUACAAAUUCAACAAAAAUCAAGAUUUUGUCAUUCCACAUGUGCAACACCCUCCAAAAUGCCCAAACUGCAUUCUUUAUGCGUUGCAUUCGACUUUGAAAUAUUCUCUUCUGCUGAGCAAUCUAACUUAACACAAGAAAAUCUGUAUGAAGUUUUCUAAAAAUAGUCCCAUGAAUAAUUUGUUUUAUUUUUUUUGUCGUGGAUGGAUGGAUGGACGAUGAUCUAUGAAAAUUAUGGAUUUUCUACAUGUUUUCAUAUAUUUUGACAGGUGAUAUCAGUUAGCCUUCAACCGAUUCUUGAAAAUAAUAAAGGAGGACACAAAAUGAAGACAACAAAACAUUGUUGCAUGUUCUACAAGUGAAUCACGUACUACACCAGAUCCAUGAACCAGGAGGAC